CAGCAGCCACGGGAAUACGUAGGGUGCGAGCGUUAAUCGGAAUUACUGGGCGUAAAGCGUGCGCAGGCGGUUGUGUAAGACAGGUGUGAAAUCCCCGGGCUUAACCUGGGAACUGCGCUUGUGACUGCACAGCUAGAGUAUGGCAGAGGGGGGUGGAAUUCCACGUGUAGCAGUGAAAUGCGUAGAGAUGUGGAGGAACACCGAUGGCGAAGGCAGCCCCCUGGGCCAAUACUGACGCUCAUGCACGAAAGCGUGGGGAGCGAACAGGAUUAGAUACCCGAGUAGUCCCUGUCUCUUAUAA
RNAcentral lists this ribosomal RNA (301 nucleotides) under uncultured bacterium. RNAcentral's name for it is "partial 16S ribosomal RNA". It matches the Rfam family "Bacterial small subunit ribosomal RNA", at positions 509 to 809 of the family's 1533-position model. The record is from RNAcentral.